RNAcentral lists this ribosomal RNA (1046 nucleotides) under unidentified archaeon. Its description in RNAcentral is "16S ribosomal RNA". The record is from RNAcentral.
UGGGUCUCGCUCGUUGCCUGACUUAACAGGAUGCUUUACAGUACGAACUGACGACGGCCAUGCACCACCUCUCAGCUAAUCCGGCAAAGUCUUCAGCCUGGCCUUCAUAUUGCUGUCGGUCCCGGUAAGAUUUCCGGCGUUGAAUCCAAUUAAACCGCAAGCUCCACCCGUUGUGGUGCUCCCCCGCCAAUUCCUUUAAGUUUCAGCCUUGCGGCCGUACUUCCCAGGUGGCUCGCUUCACGGCUUCCCUACGGCACCGACAACGGUCGCACCGUGGCCGACACCUAGCGAGUAUCGUUUACGGCUAGGACUACCCGGGUAUCUAAUCCGGUUCGUGCCCCUAGCUUUCGUCCCUUGCCGUCAGGUCCGUUCUGGUGAGACGCCUUCGCCACUGGUGGUCCUUCAAGGAUUACAAGAUUUCACCCCUACCCCUGAAGUACCUCUCACCUCUCCCGGCCUCGAGCCAGACAGUAUCUCCUGAAAGCCUGACAGUUAAGCUGCCAGAUUUCUCAAGAGACUUAUCCGGCCGGCUACAGACCCUUUAGACCCAAUAAUAACGGUUACCACUCGAGCCGCCGGUGUUACCGCGGCGGCUGGCACCGGUCUUGCCCGGCCCUUGCUAUGAAAUGCUUUUUAGGCAUCUCGACAGCCAGAUUUGUAACCUGGCACUCGAGGUUCCCUUAUCGCUGUUGCCAGCAUUGUAAAGUUUUCGCGCCUGCUGCACCCCGUAGGGCCUGGAUUCGUGUCUCAGAAUCCAUCUCCGGGCUCUUGCUCUCACAACCCGUACCCGUCGUAGGCUAGUAGGUACGCUACACCCACUACUACCUGAUAGGCCGCAGACCCAUCCUUAGGCGCCGGAGCUUUUAAUCUCGGUGCAUUCCAGCAGCCGAGACUUAUAGGGGAUUAUACCCAGUUUCCCGGGUUUAUACCCAACCUAAGGGCAGGUUGUCCACGUGUUACUGAGCAGUACGCCAUGUAUUGCUACAUUCGACUCGCAUGGCUUAGUCGAACCUCGAUAGCAGUAACCUCUGGCAGGAUCAACCAGA